GUUCCUACCUGCAGGAAACUAUAGCGGAGGGGCUAAACAUUAACUCCUGAUUAAUCUUUAACAGCUGCAACCAAUAAGAGAUUAGAAUUUCGUUUUUCCUUCUUUAGUGCUAUGUUCAAUCUAAGAAACAUGCGAGUUUUUUAAGUUUAAAAUCUCAAAAAAUUAUUUUUCUGAGAUUUGAUUGGACUGAAUUCGGUCGUAAGAGAUUGUCAGAAGGAAAAUACGAAAUGUGAGACGAGAGAACGCAUGUUUCCCAAGGUCUCUGGUAGAGUGUUACAGACUGUAGAUUUAGCAGAACCUCGAAAGAAAAGACCACAGGCUUUGGAAGGUAGAAAUUAAAUGGUGUACGUGGCACCUUGCAGGAUGAUUCACGUAGCCAAAACUGCAGUGUGAGUGCCUUGUUGACAGGUAUCUCAACUUCUUCCUUCGAUUAUCCUACAUUUCUAUUUCAUACACCAUUAUAGACAUUUUCUGAACAGUGAAGCAUAAUAGUCAUAAAAGGACUAAUGCACCAUUCUUUACUUUUCCUUUUUACAUGCCAGAAAGCUUUAUCUCGGUGAUAAGGGUUUGACAUUAGAAGCAUACACAGAGCACAUGCUAACUACCACUAUAAUAUCAGCGAUAGAAAAAAACCUUAACAGAGAAUUCCUUUUCUGGUUUUGUUUUGCAGAUGUGAUUUGGAUAGCUUUGCAUUGUAUACCAGUGUAGUAAAAUACUGUUCAUCUUCUUUCCUGAAUGCAGAAUCAUUUUUACAUAAGUUUUUAAGGCAUUUUUAGAUCUUACUCAUUCAAGUGUGUCACUUCAGGUCGGGAGUAGUUCAGAAAUUGUAUACCAGUGUAGUAAAAUAUUGUUCAUCUUCUUUCCUGAAUGUAGAAUCAUUUUUACAUAAGUUUUUAAGGCAUUUUUAGAUCUUACUCAUUCAAUUGUGUGACUUCAGGUCGGGAAUAGUUCAAAAAUUGUGGCUUAUGAAAAUCUACAGACUGAGAUGAUUAAGGGCUUUGAAUCGCUAAAUCCAGACAACGUAAAACCCUAAUUAAAAAGACAUUCAAAGGCUGUGGGGAGUUGUUUGGCAAGAACAAGAUAUUCUCACUUAAACCUGGUGAAAUCAUUUUAUAUGACGCCCGUGGAGAGCAGGGCAUGGAAUUUGAUGGAUGCAUCAUUGUGAGCUGGGUGCUCUGCUGCUAUAGCCUGUCAACAGUCAAUCACCCCACUGUGUGCUGCUAUUUUUUUGUUCUAGUCUCCUGUUUUGUCAGCUGUGAUGUUUGUAGUCUGGUGCUUCAAUCCAAUAUCAAAGAAAAGAAGGGUAUAUGAGUCCUUUGUUGUGGCACAUAGACUACCAUUCCACUGGGGGCCAUCAACCUCAGACAAAUGCUCACAACGUAACCCACCCAACCGUCAUUUUCUGCCUGGUUUAAUGCUACAAAAAUCCUUUUGGCGUAAUCUAAGAUUUCUUGCCUUCAUUUCUAUUGUAGGUCGCCAGCAAACAGCUUAGGGACACAACUUUGAUUGAGAUAAAUAUCAUGGUGGUAGGUCUAUGCCUGGAGCCUCGAUAGAUAUGGUAUAUAGCCAAAACAAAUUGUAUAUCAACAUGGAGAAAGGUUAUCAUCACCAAUUUGGAGUCAAUUAAAUAUAGUUUCACAAAUAUCAGGUUCACUUGCUAGUUGUGCAGACAACCAAAUGGUAAUUUAUGAUUCUUCUACAACUGAACAAGCAUGCUACACUUGUAUAAAUGCUAAGCUUUUAUAUGUUGGCCUUUGCUUUCAGAAAUUAAAAGUUUCAAUAUAUAAUUAUGCUAAGUUCAUACAUGAAAACUAGAGUCUAACAUUUAAAGAAACAACUAAUGACUGUAUAUUUGUGUGAUUGCCAAGUAGUCUAUGCCAGUUUCUGUAAUGGUGCAAUUGGUAUUUUUAUGCAGAUAUCCUAAGGCCCUUUUUUCGUGUCCCUCCCCUUGCAUUUACUAGAGUGGCUGGUAGCAUUCUUAUCUUGUUAGGACCCGUGUUUUUAAAAGGAAUGGAUUAACAAAUUAUAGAAUAUUUCAAGGUCUUGUAGGAAAGCCAUAUAAAAUUGAAUGGAUUAACAAAUUGUAGAAAACCAUUUAUAAUUGCACGGUUCUACCAAAGGGGGGAACAUUUCAGAAUUAUUGCAUGGUAUGCUUGUUUCAUAUAGUGAAUUUAUAUCCUUUAAGAUAGUGGCUCUAUUUCUUAUUUCUAU
Molecule: long non-coding RNA, 2211 nt
Organism: Cryptomeria japonica (Japanese cedar)
Lineage: Eukaryota; Viridiplantae; Streptophyta; Pinopsida; Cupressales; Cupressaceae
Exons: 3
Source: RefSeq, a predicted model, not a curated record